AUGACUAAUUUGCCAUGGUUAGUGGCAGGGGAUUUUAACAAAAUAUUACAUGCUCAUGAGAAAGAAGGGGGGCAGGCACGCUCCCAAUGUUGUAUGCAUGCUUUUAGCAGUGCGCUGAGCGACUGCGGGCUUGACGACCUUGGCUAUUCGGGGGACAUUUUAAGUUGGCGAAGAGGUCGAAUACAAGAACGACUUGACAGAGCUGUUUCGAAUAGCACUUGGGCAGACCUGUUUCCAACAUAUGGUGUUUCAAAUGAACCUUUUAACAAGUCGGAUCACCGACCGAUCUUGAUUGAGACUGACUUCCAGCAAGGUUUACAACCAAGGGGUCCAACGGAUCCAAGGAAAUUCGAAGCAAGAUGGCUCACGGAGGAAGAUGUCGAGGUGAUAGUUCACACUGCGUAG
RNAcentral lists this ribosomal RNA (405 nucleotides) under Triticum aestivum (bread wheat). Its description in RNAcentral is "partial small subunit ribosomal RNA". The record is from RNAcentral. Lineage: Eukaryota; Viridiplantae; Streptophyta; Magnoliopsida; Poales; Poaceae.